Flavobacterium frigoris PS1 is the source of this 81-nucleotide non-coding RNA. Lineage: Bacteria; Pseudomonadati; Bacteroidota; Flavobacteriia; Flavobacteriales; Flavobacteriaceae. The record is from Rfam.
AGAUAGCCCUGAUAGUAGUGGAAAUCCUUUUAUGUAAGCGCUAGCGGUCAUAAAAGAUUGAAGCGGAUAGCAGGAAUAGCU